RNAcentral lists this non-coding RNA (151 nucleotides) under unclassified sequences. The record is from RNAcentral.
CUAACUGGUUCGUGAGAAUAGGUUAGUCUUCAGAAGAUGACAAGCCUGUGGGGCGUAAGUAAGUGCAUAUCUAUACUGUACUAAAUACGAUAAGAUAAGUAUAGAAAUACUCGUAUUUGUGCUUACGAUCGUGCGGACGUAAAAACCAGGU